GACGAACGCUGGCGGCGUGCUUAACACAUGCAAGUCGAACGGAAAGGCUCCAGCUUGCUGGAGUACUCGAGUGGCGAACGGGUGAGUAACACGUGGGUAAUCUGCCCUGCACUCUGGGAUAAGCCUGGGAAACUGGGUCUAAUACUGGAUAUGACCUUUCUCCUUAUGGGGUUUGGUGGAAAGUUUUUCGGUGUAGGAUGAGCCCGCGGCCUAUCAGCUUGUUGGUGGGGUGAUGGCCUACCAAGGCGACGACGGGUAGCCGGCCUGAGAGGGUGAUCGGCCACUUGGGUCCUGCGGUACGCCCCAGACUCCGACGGGGGGCAGGGGGGGGGAAUAUUGCACAGGGGGGGGAGGCGUGAUGCGGCGGCCCCGGGGGGGGGAGGGGGGCUUGGGGGUGAAAAACCUCUUGCAGCAGGGAGGAAGCGUAGGUGACGGUCCCUGAAGAAGAAGCACCGGCUAACUAUGUG
Molecule: ribosomal RNA, 467 nt
Filed under: uncultured bacterium
Lineage: Bacteria
Description: partial 16S ribosomal RNA
Rfam family: Bacterial small subunit ribosomal RNA
Source: RNAcentral